This 492-nucleotide ribosomal RNA is filed under the name uncultured bacterium. RNAcentral describes it as "partial 16S ribosomal RNA". It matches the Rfam family "Bacterial small subunit ribosomal RNA", at positions 29 to 507 of the family's 1533-position model. The record is from RNAcentral.
AGUGAACGCUGGCGGUAGGCCUAACACAUGCAAGUCGAACGGCAGCACAGUAAGAGCUUGCUCUUACGGGUGGCGAGUGGCGGACGGGUGAGGAAUACAUCGGAAUCUACUUUUUCGUGGGGGAUAACGUAGGGAAACUUACGCUAAUACCGCAUACGACCUACGGGUGAAAGCAGGGGUUCUUCGGACCUUGCGCGAUUGAAUGAGCCGAUGUCGGAUUAGCUAGUUGGCGGGGUAAAGGCCCACCAAGGCGACGAUACGUAGCUGGUCUGAGAGGAUGAUCGGCCACACUGGAACUGAGACACGGUCCAGACUCCUACGGGAGGCAGCAGUGGGGAAUAUUGGACAAUGGGCGCAAGCCUGAUCCAGCCAUACCGCGUGGGUGAAGAAGGCCUUCGGGUUGUAAAGCCCUUUUGUUGGGGAAGAAAAGCAGCAGGUUAAUACCCCGCUGUUCUGACGGUACCCAAAGAAUAAGCACCGGCUAACUUCGUG